GACGAACGCUGGCGGCGUGCUUAACACAUGCAAGUCGAACGGAAAGGCCCUGCUUUUGUGGGGUGCUCGAGUGGCGAACGGGUGAGUAACACGUGAGUAACCUGCCCUUGACUUUGGGAUAACUUCAGGAACUGGGGCUAAUACCGGAUAGGAGCUCCUGCUGCAUGGGGGGGGUUGGAAAGUUUCGGCGGUUGGGGAUGGACUCGCGGCUUAUCAGCUUGUUGGUGGGGUAGUGGCUUACCAAGGCUUUGACGGGUAGCCGGCCUGAGAGGGUGACCGGCCACAUUGGGACUGAGAUACGGCCCAGACUCCUACGGGAGGCAGCAGUGGGGAAUAUUGCACAAUGGGCGGAAGCCUGAUGCAGCAACGCCGCGUGCGGGAUGACGGCCUUCGGGUUGUAAACCGCUUUCGCCUGUGACGAAGCGUGAGUGACGGUAAUGGGUAAAGAAGCACCGGCUAACUACGUG
Molecule: ribosomal RNA, 467 nt
Filed under: uncultured bacterium
Lineage: Bacteria
Description: partial 16S ribosomal RNA
Rfam family: Bacterial small subunit ribosomal RNA
Source: RNAcentral